Molecule: ribosomal RNA, 496 nt
Filed under: uncultured bacterium
Lineage: Bacteria
Description: partial 16S ribosomal RNA
Rfam family: Bacterial small subunit ribosomal RNA
Source: RNAcentral
AUGAACGCUGGCGGCGUGCCUAAUACAUGCAAGUCGAGCGAACAGACGAGGAGCUUGCUCCUCUGACGUUAGCGGCGGACGGGUGAGUAACACGUGGAUAACCUACCUAUAAGACUGGGAUAACUUCGGGAAACCGGAGCUAAUACCGGAUAAUAUAAUGAACCGCAUGGUUCAAUAGUGAAAGACGGUUUUGCUGUCACUUAUAGAUGGAUCCGCGCCGCAUUAGCUAGUUGGUAAGGUAACGGCUUACCAAGGCGACGAUGCGUAGCCGACCUGAGAGGGUGAUCGGCCACACUGGAACUGAGACACGGUCCAGACUCCUACGGGAGGCAGCAGUAGGGAAUCUUCCGCAAUGGGCGAAAGCCUGACGGAGCAACGCCGCGUGAGUGAUGAAGGUCUUCGGAUCGUAAAACUCUGUUAUUAGGGAAGAACAAAUGUGUAAGUAACUAUGCACGUCUUGACGGUACCUAAUCAGAAAGCCACGGCUAACUACGUG